CGAACGGGUGAGUAACGCGUGGGGAAUCUGCCUUUGAGCGGGGGGCAACAUUUGGAAACGAAUGCUAAUACCGCAUAAAAACUUUAAACACAAGUUUUAAGUUUGAAAGAUGCAAUUGCAUCACUCAAAGAUGAUCCCGCGUUGUAUUAGCUAGUUGGUGAGGUAAAGGCUCACCAAGGCGAUGAUACAUAGCCGACCUGAGAGGGUGAUCGGCCACAUUGGGACUGAGACACGGCCCAAACUCCUACGGGAGGCAGCAG
Molecule: ribosomal RNA, 260 nt
Filed under: uncultured bacterium
Lineage: Bacteria
Description: partial 16S ribosomal RNA
Rfam family: Bacterial small subunit ribosomal RNA
Source: RNAcentral